UACGGAGGGUGCAAGCGUUGUCCGGAUUUAUUGGGUUUAAAGGGUGCGUAGGCGGACUUUCAAGUCAGUGGUGAAAUCCUGCGGCUUAACCGUAGAAUUGCCAUUGAUACUGGGAGUCUUGAGUACAGUUGAGGUGGUUGGAAUACGUAGUGUAGCGGUGAAAUGCAUAGAUAUUACGUAGAACACCAAUUGCGAAGGCAGAUCACUAAACUGGAACUGACGCUGAGGCACGAAAGCGUGGGGAGCGAACAGG
Molecule: ribosomal RNA, 253 nt
Filed under: uncultured bacterium
Lineage: Bacteria
Description: partial 16S ribosomal RNA
Rfam family: Bacterial small subunit ribosomal RNA
Source: RNAcentral